This 451-nucleotide ribosomal RNA is filed under the name uncultured bacterium. RNAcentral's name for it is "partial 16S ribosomal RNA". It matches the Rfam family "Bacterial small subunit ribosomal RNA", at positions 329 to 796 of the family's 1533-position model. The record is from RNAcentral.
UUCCAGACUCCUACGGGAGGCAGCAGUGGGGAAUAUUGCACAAUGGGCGAAAGCCUGAUGCAGCAACGCCGCGUGAAGGAAGAAGGGUUUCGGCUCGUAAACUUCUAUCAACAGGGACGAAAGAAAUGACGGUACCUGAAUAAGAAGCCCCGGCUAACUCCGUGCCAGCAGCCGCGGUAAUACGGAGGAUGCGAGCGUUAUCCGGAUUUAUUGGGUUUAAAGGGUGCGUAGGCGGUCCGUUAAGUCAGCGGUAAAAUUGCGGGGCUCACCCCCGGCGAGCCGUUGAAACUGGCAGACUUGAGUUGGCGAGAAGUACGCGGAAUGCGCGGUGUAGCGGUGAAAUGCAUAGAUAUCGCGCAGAACUCCGAUUGCGAAGGCAGCGUACCGGCGCCAGACUGACGCUGAGGCACGAAAGCGUGGGGAUCGAACAGGAUUAGAUACCCCAGUAACU